ACCUACUGUUUAAUUUUGAGGGUUCGUUUUUACGAAUACUCAAAAUUAGCACUUUAAGCAACAGAAUAAACUGAACGCAUGUGAAGUUUGUUUGUUGGCGCUGUGCGUUAGCACUUUAAGUAACGGAAUAAUCUGAGUGAAUACGAAGGUUGUUCGUUGACGUGGUGCGUUAGCACUUUAAGCAACUGGAUUUAUCCGUUGGCGCCGUGCUUUAGCACUUUGAAAACUGCAUAUAUAUUUAGUGAUAUGACAUCUAAUUUGUAAUAUAUAAAGCUGAUAACUUUUUAAAAUUAUCAAAUUUAAUACUUUCAAUCCAAUCAAACCUUUUUAAUGGGCCAA
Molecule: unclassified non-coding RNA, 339 nt
Filed under: Clostridioides difficile
Lineage: Bacteria; Bacillati; Bacillota; Clostridia; Peptostreptococcales; Peptostreptococcaceae
Description: 16S-23S ribosomal RNA intergenic spacer
Source: RNAcentral